UGAAGGAGUUAUGGGGAUCUUAGUUUAUUCCCCUGAGGGAAUUGUGAGGAUCUUUAUUUAUCCCCUUGAUUUACUGCCCCGUUUGUCACUGUCUCCCAGACUGCAGGCCAGGCCAGGUGCCAGCAUGUCCCCAGGCUUUGGUCACACAACUCUCCACCCCCCAUCACUCAGUUCUCUGGUGCAUUGUUGGCACUGGCUUAUUACGGGUCAGUUUCAGGUCCUGGUGCAUUAAAACCUCACUAGUACAAUCACUUAACCAGCAGGGUUUGUUUGCUUGGCUUGGCUGGGCCCUCGGAUGAAGGUGGUGAAUAGGGAGGAUUCUCCCUAAUCGAGGAACAGAUUUUUGAUCUGUUAAAAGUUUUAAGAGAUGAACCGAAAACCUCUGACUUGCCAGGACCUGAGUGCAGAGUCUGUGUUUGUCCUGAUGCGUCUGAUGAUGAGGGUCAUAAAUUAGCUCAGGGCCAGAUUUCCAAGGUCUCCGCUCCUACAGUUGAGGCAGCUCAGCACACAUUUCAGCACCAAAUAAGGACCAAGAUUUUAAAGGAGCUCAGCACCCAUUAUGUACCCACUGUGCCAAACUCUGGCCCUGGCUGUGGGUGCUGAGCCCUUCUUGAGCAUUCCAGCCAGAGAGCUGCUUCCCGGUGCAACACGUCACUGGGGCACCAUGGCAAUGCUCAGGUGUCACUAUGUACAAUGUAAAUGACGACAUACAGUGCAGGGGAGAAUUGGGCCCAUAAUUCCUAAUGCAGAGCAGAGAGCUGCACUUCUGGGAGAGCAAAAUCCCAGGGCAGAGGGAGCAAAGUGGGCAGAGACCAGGUGGGGGAGCCUGCAGGAAGGACUGGGCUGGGGACCAUCCCUCUGGCAGGACAACAGGCUUUACAUUAUCUUUAGUUAUGGGUCUCUGCCCAUCCCUCCUGAAACGGGAUUUAACUCUGCACCCAUUCCCAGCUAACACACUUGGGCCUAGAACAGCUGUAAAAAAACACAGAUGGCUCUUACAAAGCUGAAUGCCUAGUGGCAGCACCCCCUGCCUCCCCUGGCACCAGCCGCUGGCAGAGCUGUUCCUACAUAGCUCUUUCCUUCCAGUCAGGCGGGGAACACAGCAUGUUUAAUCCUCUCUCCUUCCUAUGUGCACCCCAAGUCCACAUCUGUUGUGACUCCACAGCAGCAAUGUAAACAAAGCCAGCAGGUCGGGCUCUUUGCAAGCUGCUUUGCAAACAGGAGGAGACAAUGUAAAGAGAUCCCCAGAGGGGAAAAUAAUGGAGAGUCAUUUACCAGAUGACUCGAGGUCAUCUGACUGAUUUGUACAUGAUGGGACUCUUCCGAGAAAGCCAACACCAGGCGCGGCGCGGGGCAAGAUGCCUUUCCUCACGCUCCCCUGGAGGUAGUUGUGGUAGCCUCCAAUAAGGAGACAGCUACCAGAGAGCACACUGCCAUGCUGUGCAGCUCUGACUGCAUUGUUCCUAGGAGGAGGAAUUUAAGAGACCACAGGAAAGGCAGUUUUCACAUGACCAGGGGAGCCUGUUGCAGAGGACAUGUGGAUCACAGCCCCGUCACCAGGCUGCGGCAUCCUGCGUACGCUGUCCAACCCGUGAAACAACCUCACAGAGUCCAGUGCUUGUUCUAAGCACCAGAGUCCUGCGAGCACCCCUGUCCUGCUGCCCAAUGGGAAGGUGCAUUGCGACGACAGCUGCCAGGGCUGAUCCUGAGCAGCAACGGACAGGUGUUUGUGACAAGGAAGGGGGCUGCUUACUUGAGCUGUGCUUGGCCAGGUAUUUGUCUUUGCACUUCUUCUUUUUCCCAAAGGGGCUGCAGCUCUGGGCUUCACUCUGACUGGACUGGGUUGUACUAGCCACACGCCUACAAGGGGGAAAACACACGAGCGAUGGAGGGAGUCAGAUCAGACCCUGCCAGAUCAGAGCUCUUGACAAGCAGGGCCUUGGAGAUCUUUCUUCCUGAGCAGGAUAAACCAGACUUUCUUUGCAACAUAUUAAAAUAGGGGUUGGCAAAGUAUUGUCCACAACUGUCCUCACUUUUACUAUGGAGCUGUGGCCUGUGAGAUAACAGGUCCCAGCAUGUAGUAAACAGUAUCCCUUUGUUGCCAGAAGGCCAGAGUGCUGGGGAUCAAGAUGGAGUAUUGCAUGCUGGGACUUGAAGACUCUGUGAGCCACAUCUCAGCAUUAAAGACCAUAAAGGGUCCAACUGCCCCUGCAAGUGAGGCUCCCAGACUCCAGAUUUGCUAGUGCAGCCCCUUCCAUUGGUCAAAAUUUGGAUGGACCAACCUGAGGAGAGCCUGUGAAAUACCAGUGACAUUGGCCAAUCUCUUGUUAAUAUAAGAGCUCGGCGGGUUGUGACACCCUGUACCCCAUGUUCACUACUUUUAUAUGGCUAUAAAAUAUUUUGUACAAAGUAUACCUUGUUUGAAAACUC
Molecule: long non-coding RNA, 2430 nt
Organism: Chelonia mydas (Green sea turtle)
Lineage: Eukaryota; Metazoa; Chordata; Testudines; Cheloniidae
Exons: 2
Source: RefSeq, a predicted model, not a curated record